RNAcentral lists this ribosomal RNA (421 nucleotides) under Macrobrachium nipponense. RNAcentral describes it as "partial 16S ribosomal RNA". It matches the Rfam family "Bacterial large subunit ribosomal RNA", at positions 1836 to 2516 of the family's 2925-position model. The record is from RNAcentral. Lineage: Eukaryota; Metazoa; Arthropoda; Malacostraca; Decapoda; Palaemonidae.
UGUAUAAGUUAUAAAGUCUAGCCUCCCCACUGAUUGAUUUAAAGGGCCGCGGUAAUUUGACCGUGCGAAGGUAGCAUAGUCAGUAGUCUUUUAAUUGAAGGCUUGAAUGAAAGGUUGGACGAGGGAUGAGCUGUCUCCUUUAUGUAAUUUGAAUUUAACUUUUGAGUGAAAAGGCUCAAAUUAUUUAGUGGGACGAUAAGCCCCUAUAAAACUUUAUAUAAGUUUAAUUUGGUUCACAAUUUGAGUGAAAAGUAGCUUUAUUAGGCUUAUAUUUCGUUGGGGAGAUGUAGAUAUAAUGUGUAACUGUCUAUUUAAUUUAAUAAUUAUAAUUAGUGUGUGAUCCUUCUUUGUGGAUUAAAAGUAUAAGUUACUUUAGGGAUAACAGCGUGAUUUUCUUUGAGAGUUCUUAUCGACAAGAGUA